GCCCCUCGCUCUCUCUCUUGCCCACGCACUCGUCACCUCCUCCAGAUCCAUCGCCGAGCGCGGUCGUUGCCGCUCGCCUCACUCUGCCAUGGCCAGCAGGCACAUCUCGCCUCGUCGUUGCAUCCACAAAGACCGCCGUCGUCCGCUGCGUCUACUAUGGAGACGAAACGAGCCGGAACCCCUUCCAUCGUCGAGCCGGCCCUCUGCUUCCACCUCUGGCCACCGAAGGCCGCCGCCGUCGUUCUGCUGCACCGAGCCUCCCCCGAGCCCGCUCAUGCACAUCUGCAGGUCCGCGAUGACGGAGUCCAGGAGCCAGAUGACACCUUUGACGACUACUACUACCCCGAGGGUGCCUACUACCACGUGACGGACGCCAACGACCAGGAGUAGUUAGGAGGCUCCCAGCCAGGAGGCCUUCCCUUUUCGAUCAUAGAUGCUUUUGUGCUAGCCUUCUUAAGGCAAACUUGUCUAACUUAUGUCUGUACUCAGAUGUUGUUGCUUUCGCUGACUCUUGUGUUUUUGAGCUUAUGUAUUUGAGCCCUCGAGGCCCCUGGCUUGUAAUAUAAAGCUUGUAUUAUUUUAA
Triticum aestivum (bread wheat) is the source of this 583-nucleotide long non-coding RNA. RefSeq lists it as uncharacterized. The transcript has 2 exons. Lineage: Eukaryota; Viridiplantae; Streptophyta; Magnoliopsida; Poales; Poaceae. The record is from RefSeq and is a predicted model, not a curated record.